GGGCGGCUAGCUCAACUGGCUAGAGCGACUGCUUUACACGCAGUAGGUUCGGGGUUCAAGUCCUCGGCCGCCCA
This 74-nucleotide transfer RNA is filed under the name bacterium. Its description in RNAcentral is "tRNA-Val". It matches the Rfam family "tRNA". Rfam says of the family: Transfer RNA (tRNA) molecules are approximately 80 nucleotides in length. Their secondary structure includes four short double-helical elements and three loops (D, anti-codon, and T loops). The record is from RNAcentral.